This 1541-nucleotide ribosomal RNA is filed under the name Staphylococcus pseudintermedius. RNAcentral's name for it is "bacterial SSU rRNA". It matches the Rfam family "Bacterial small subunit ribosomal RNA". The record is from RNAcentral. Lineage: Bacteria; Bacillati; Bacillota; Bacilli; Caryophanales; Staphylococcaceae.
UUUAUGGAGAGUUUGAUCCUGGCUCAGGAUGAACGCUGGCGGCGUGCCUAAUACAUGCAAGUCGAGCGAACAGAUAAGGAGCUUGCUCCUUUGACGUUAGCGGCGGACGGGUGAGUAACACGUGGGUAACCUACCUAUAAGACUGGAAUAACUCCGGGAAACCGGGGCUAAUGCCGGAUAACAUGUUGAACCGCAUGGUUCUACAGUGAAAGACGGUCUUGCUGUCACUUAUAGAUGGACCCGCGCCGUAUUUAGUUGGUGGGGUAACGGCCUACCAAGGCGACGAUACGUAGCCGACCUGAGAGGGUGAUCGGCCACACUGGAACUGAGACACGGUCCAGACUCCUACGGGAGGGCAGUAGGGAAUCUUCCGCAAUGGGCGAAAGCCUGACGGAGCAACGCCGCGUGAGUGAUGAAGGUCUUCGGAUCGUAAAGCUCUGUUGUUAGGGAAGAACAAAUGUGUAAGUAACUGUGCACAUCUUGACGGUACCUAACCAGAAAGCCACGGCUAACUACGUGCCAGCAGCCGCGGUAAUACGUAGGUGGCAAGCGUUAUCCGGAAUUAUUGGGCGUAAAGCGCGCGUAGGCGGUUUUUUAAGUCUGAUGUGAAAGCCCACGGCUCAACCGUGGAGGGUCAUUGGAAACUGGAAAACUUGAGUGCAGAAGGAAAGUGGAAUUCCAUGUGUAGCGGUGAAAUGCGCAGAGAUAUGGAGGAACACCAGUGGCGAAGGCGGCUUUCUGGUCUGCAACUGACGCUGAUGUGCGAAAGCGUGGGAUCAAACAGGAUUAGAUACCCUGGUAGUCCACGCCGUUGACGCUCUUCCCCUAGUGAGGGGGUUUCCGCCCCUUAGUGCUGCAGCUAACGCAUUAAGCACUCCGCCUGGGGAGUACGGUCGCAAGACUGAAACUCAAAGGAAUUGACGGGGACCCGCACAAGCGGUGGAGCAUGUGGUUUAAUUCGAAGCAACGCGAAGAACCUUACCAAAUCUUGACAUCCUUUGACCGCUCUAGAGAUAGAGUUUUCCUCUUCGGAGGACAAAGUGACAGGUGGUGCAUGGUUGUCGUCAGCUCGUGUCGUGAGAUGUUGGGUUAAGUCCCGCAACGAGCGCAACCCUUGAACUUAGUUGCCAUCAUUCAGUUGGGCACUCUAAGUUGACUGCCGGUGACAAACCGGAGGAAGGUGGGAUGACGUCAAAUCAUCAUGCCCUUAUGAUUUGGGCUACACGUGCUACAAUGGACAAUACAAAGGGCAGCGAAACCGCGAGGUCAAGCAAAUCCCAUAAAGUUGUUCUCAGUUCGGAUUGUAGUCUGCAACUCGACUACAUGAAGCUGGAAUCGCUAGUAAUCGUUAGAUCAGCAUGCUACGGUGAAUACGUUCCCGGGUCUUGUACACACCGCCCGUCACACCACGAGAGUUUGUAACACCCGAAGCCGGUGGAGUAACCAUUUUGGAGCUAGCCGUCGAAGGUGGGACAAAUGAUUGGGGUGAAGUCGUAACAAGGUAGCCGUAUCGGAAGGUGCGGCUGGAUCACCUCCUUUCU